GUCCUCUUUCACAAAAAAUUAAAAGUUUGUGUUAAUCAUGACCCAAAUUGGUCUAGACCCAAAGCAACAUUCAUGCACCCUUGAAGACUCAAUCAUUAAUAAAUCAAGUCUGAAUUGGGUUCAAGCCCAAAGAAAUCAACUAAAAGGUUUUGGGCUGGAUCAAAUGAUCCAUAGGCCCAACCAUCAGCCCUAGGUGCCCAAGCUUCCAAAGGCCCAUGUGCGCAAGAGAUUUCAACCCCCAACAAAUCCUAGAAUUCUGCCACCAACAAGCCUAGCGCCCUUUUCCUUUAUGCCUCAACUCUAGCAUGCCUCCUUUUCUUCCGCACUAUCCCGUGCUCCCUUUCUCUCCUAAGCCUCACCCCCUUUCUUUUCUAAGUAGUGCCCCUUGCUUUUUAUAUCAAACCAUCCCUCUUCACAUCAUGCCUCCAUCAUUAGUCCUAUCUCAACCCUCCAUCAUUUAGGUGCCUUCCGCAUCUUCUUAAAAACCCGAGCCACCCCAUCCUUGCUUCCAUUAAUCCUACAUUACCAAAAUAACUAAUCCUCAUGCCCCCUCGCAUCUAUAAAUAAGCCCCUGCACCUCAACCAAGGUAGUAUCUCUCUCCACACCCCAUAAGGCUGAUGCCUCAAUCCUAGCCGCCCUCCAUCUCCAUGCCAAAGCCCUAUGAGCUGCUGUCCUAUCCUCUUAUCCCCC
RNAcentral lists this long non-coding RNA (691 nucleotides) under Elaeis guineensis (African oil palm). RNAcentral's name for it is "long non-coding RNA (EGUI_LNC049513)". The record is from RNAcentral. Lineage: Eukaryota; Viridiplantae; Streptophyta; Magnoliopsida; Arecales; Arecaceae.